This 65-nucleotide transfer RNA is filed under the name Pelagomonas calceolata. The record is from RNAcentral. Lineage: Eukaryota; Pelagophyceae; Pelagomonadales; Pelagomonadaceae.
UCUUGGCUCUUCUUUUGUUGAAGAAAGACCAACUCGGCCACGGAUACAAUAGGCUGAAUCAGCUC